Molecule: long non-coding RNA, 448 nt
Filed under: Lathyrus oleraceus (garden pea)
Lineage: Eukaryota; Viridiplantae; Streptophyta; Magnoliopsida; Fabales; Fabaceae
Description: Pisum sativum (pea) long non-coding RNA (PSAT_LNC024333)
Source: RNAcentral
AUUACAUUGCAAUGUUUAGUUCUAAGAUAUUACAAGGGAAAAAAGGAAAUUACAAGAAAACUUCAACAGUUGACUUUUUGAUCAAAUGUUCACCAUUGACUUUUUUGAAUCAUUAACUCUUAUGACCUAUUCUCAAUUCAGUUCCAUUUUAUUCCAACUCCUUCCAAAUUCUCUUCACCUAUUCACUUCUCCAUUUUUUCAAAAUCAAGUUUCUUCAUGUUAUACUCCAUGUCCAAGUUCAUGCCACACCAAGCCUUUCCUCAACACAAACCUACAUAAUAGAAGGGCUAAAUCAGUUUCACAAUAUACAAUUACAUCCAUUCAAGAUUCAAAAAUAAAAAACCAAGACAUAUCAUGCAUCAUACAUCCAUGCCACAUUCAUAUUCAACUAAAUUCAAGCAGUUCAUGUUGGCACCACAUCAGACAAUAGCAAAAACAAUCAUAUGCA